Molecule: RNA transcript, 1171 nt
Organism: Erigeron canadensis
Lineage: Eukaryota; Viridiplantae; Streptophyta; Magnoliopsida; Asterales; Asteraceae
Gene name: stress-response A/B barrel domain-containing protein UP3
Exons: 12
Source: RefSeq, a predicted model, not a curated record
CAAUACAAUAUGCAGGUGCAGCAUUAUUUUCAGACACACACUUUAAGCUGUUCUACUCCUCGUUAUCUCACCAAACGUUCCCCUCCCAACAAAUCCAUUUUCCGUGGGACCCGAGUUAGUUUCCGGCAUACCCAUUUCCAUCAGUUUCCUUUGGGCUUGAAUCUUGGAGGUGCCAUAAACUCGUCUUCAGAGGGACAGAACUCGAGCACAAGUGCAGAGACAACAAGAAAAGUUGUAGAACACAUAUGUUUGCUUAAAGCAAAGGAUGAUUUAUCCGAUGAGGAUGAAAAGGACAUGCUGGAUUUUCUAUAUACCUGUCAAUAUCAAAUGCGUGGCAUUCUUGCCAUCUCAUUAGGACGUAUCUUGUAUCAGAAUCUCGAAAGCUAUACACAUGCUGUCUUCAUGCGUUUUCAGAAAAGGGAAGAUCUUGCAAAGUUCUAUGAAAACCCAUUCUACUUGGGAGUCUUGAAGGAUCAUGUAACACCUUACUGUCAUGAACUCACUUAUUUUGAUUUUGAAUCUGAAGUAGAAGACGAUAUACUUCCCAUUUUUCGGAAAGGAGAGGAGUUUAAUUUUGGUGUGGAAUUCAUAAUUCUUCUUUCAUUUAAAGAGAAUUCAUCGGAGGAAGUGGUAAAUGAUGCACUAAGUUCUUUCACAAAGUUGCUAUUGGAAUUUCCUUCAUUAGUUGUCCAAACUACAAAAGGAUCAAACUUUAAUCCUGGCAGCAAAGAGUACACACAUGCUGUAGUGAUACGAUUUCGAUCAUCGGAUGCUUUUGAAAUAUUCAUGGGCAGUUCAGAAUACAAAGCUAUAUGGAGGUUUAAGUUUCAGCCGAUUACUUUGAAGAAACUGUCCAUUAGCUUUUCUGUAGAUCCAGUUGGAAAUGAGUUAAUGUAACAAGCUUCACUGAUUUUAGGGUUACUUAAAAAGCCAUUCUUGUUUGUGGAUGUUUUGCUUUUUAUGGAAAGGACUAAAGGGUUGCCUAUGUUGAGAGUGGAAAGUGAAAAUCAAUCUGUAGAAACUUUUUAUAUGUUUCUGUAAUAGUAUUCAACUAAUAUUGAUGUCAGUGUCGUGAGUGUUUUAUAUUCUAUAUGCAAGUGAUUUGAUGCUUCAGUCUGUAACAGUCUAAUCAAUAGUUUAUCCACUGAUAAGACAUCAAAGUUUUGGACCA